RNAcentral lists this long non-coding RNA (611 nucleotides) under Triticum aestivum (bread wheat). Its description in RNAcentral is "long non-coding RNA (TAES_LNC028245)". Lineage: Eukaryota; Viridiplantae; Streptophyta; Magnoliopsida; Poales; Poaceae. The record is from RNAcentral.
CACAUCAAUCUCAUUACACAAUACGUACAUACAUAGAUCGGACAUUCAGUACACAUGAUCUAUAGUAUACCCAGCUUAGUUUAGAGCCGAUGGAUUACUUCUUAUCUUUCUUUCUUUUUUGCGGGGAAGGAUUACUUCUUUAUCUAUAGAGCAACCUCGUAGAACAACCAUAAUCACGAGCUGUGCUUGAUGAGUGUACACCCAUCAGUUGUUGCUGUUGUUGGUCGACGCGGAUACAUCGGCCGCUGGCGGGCACGGGCAUGGCGGCUUGGGCUUGGGCUUCGGCGGACACGGCUUGGGCUUGGGCUUGGGCUUGGGCGCAUGAGGAGGGCACGGCCACUUCGGUGAACCGCCGUGGUUCGGAGGUGCGGGCUUCGGCGGCUUGGGCUUCGGUGAACCACCGUGGUUCGGAGGUGCGGGCUUCGGCGGCUUGGGCUUCGGUGAACCACCGUGGUUCGGAGGUGCGGGCUUUGGCGGCGUGGGCUUCGGUGAACCGCCGUGGCUCGGAGGUGCGGGCUUUGGCGGAGUGGGCUUCGGGCUUGGCGGCUUCGGGCCCGGGCUGGGCUGCUUGUGGUAGCAUUUGUCCCCGCAUGCUUUGUAGCAUUCCGCCU